CACUAAGAGAGGUUCAAGAGAGGACUCCCACAUCAACUCAAACUUAAGGUCAAUGCAAACUUAAUUCAUCUUCCACUAGUUUGUUGGAAUUUAUAUGUAGUUGCGACAAUCAUUUCUUCCUUUGGGUUACCUUAUAGAACAAGCAAAAGCUAUCUCAAAUGGGAGAAUCUUACAUCAUUUGAUCUGAAUUUCUUUUGUGGGG
This 202-nucleotide long non-coding RNA is filed under the name Elaeis guineensis (African oil palm). RNAcentral's name for it is "long non-coding RNA (EGUI_LNC032716)". The record is from RNAcentral. Lineage: Eukaryota; Viridiplantae; Streptophyta; Magnoliopsida; Arecales; Arecaceae.